ACCUGGAUGGCUCAGUCAGUUAAGUGUCUGACUUUGGCUCAGGUCAUGAUCUCACAGUUCGUGAGUUCAAGCCCCACUCUGGGCU
This 85-nucleotide transfer RNA is filed under the name Felis catus (domestic cat). It matches the Rfam family "tRNA". Rfam says of the family: Transfer RNA (tRNA) molecules are approximately 80 nucleotides in length. RNAcentral also lists the same sequence under 3 other names. The record is from Rfam by way of RNAcentral. Lineage: Eukaryota; Metazoa; Chordata; Mammalia; Carnivora; Felidae.